CCGCACAAGCGGUGGAGCAUGUUGGUUAAUUCGAAGCAACGCGAAGAACCUUACCAGGUCUUGACAUCCCGAUGCUAUUUCUAGAGAUAGAAAGUUACUUCGGUACAUCGGUGACAGGUGGUGCAUGGUUGUCGUCAGCUCGUGUCGUGAGAUGUUGGGUUAAGUCCCGCAACGAGCGCAACCCCUAUUGUUAGUUGCCAUCAUUCAGUUGGGCACUCUAGCGAGACUGCCGGUAAUAAACCGGAGGAAGGUGGGGAUGACGUCAAAUCAUCAUGCCCCUUAUGACCUGGGCUACACACGUGCUACAAUGGUUGGUACAACGAGUUGCGAGUCGGUGACGGCGAGCUAAUCUCUUAAAGCCAAUCUCAGUUCGGAUUGUAGGCUGCAACUCGCCUACAUGAAGUCGGAAUCGCUAGUAAUCGCGGAUCAGCACGCCGCGGUCGAAUACGUUCCCGGGCCUU
RNAcentral lists this ribosomal RNA (461 nucleotides) under uncultured Streptococcus sp. RNAcentral describes it as "bacterial SSU rRNA". It matches the Rfam family "Bacterial small subunit ribosomal RNA", at positions 921 to 1382 of the family's 1533-position model. Lineage: Bacteria; Bacillati; Bacillota; Bacilli; Lactobacillales; Streptococcaceae. The record is from RNAcentral.